This 800-nucleotide small RNA is filed under the name Pongo abelii (Sumatran orangutan). Its description in RNAcentral is "processed transcript". The record is from RNAcentral. Lineage: Eukaryota; Metazoa; Chordata; Mammalia; Primates; Hominidae.
ACGUCCCGUCGCGAGAGGGGGCGGAGCGAGCGUGCACGGCGGGCGCGCGCAGGCUCCGUAACCGAGCCCUGAGCCGCCUGCGCGGAUCGGCGUCCGCAGCGGGCGGCUGCUGAGGUGCCCCCUGAUAAGUGCCGAUGUGCCGUGGGCAGCAUCCUGAGUGAAGGUGAGGAAUCGCCCUCCCCUGAGCUUAUCGACCUCUACCAGAAAUUUGGCUUCAAGGGGUUCUCCUUCCCGGCACCCAGCCAUGUGGUGACAGCCACCUUCCCCUACACCACCAUCCUGUCCAUCUGGCUGGCUACCCGCCGUGUCCAUUCUGCCUUGGACACCUACAUCAAGGAGCGGAAGCUGUGUGCCUAUCCUCGGCUGGAGAUCUACCAGGAAGACCAGAUCCAUUUCAUGUGCCCACUGGCACGGCAGGGAGACUUCUAUGUGCCUGAGGUGAAGGAGACAGAGCGGAAAUGGCGGGGGCUUGUGGAGGCCAUUGACACCCAGGUGGAUGGCACAGGAGCUGACACAAUGAGUGACACGAGUUCUGUAAGCUUGGAAGUGAGCCCUGGCAGCCGGGAGACUUCAGUUGCCACACUGUCACCUGGGGCGAGCAGCCGUGGCUGGGAUGACGGUGACACCCGCAGCGAGCACAGCUACAGCGAGUCAGGCGCCAGCGGCUCCUCUUUUGAGGAGCUGGACUUGGAGGGCGAGGGGCCCUUAGGGGAGUCACGGCUGGACCCUGAAACUGAGCCCCUGGGGACUACCAAGUGGCCCUGGGAGCCCAGUGCCCCUGAGAAGGGCAAGGAGUAACC